UAUUGGACAAUGGGCGAGAGCCUGNUCCAGCCAUGCCGCGUGCAGGAAGAAGGCCUUCUGGGUUGUAAACUGCUUUUGCCAGGGGAUAAAAAGUCCCUGCGGGGAAAAUUGAAGGUACCUGGUGAAUAAGCCACGGCUAACUACGUGCCAGCAGCCGCGGUAAUACGUAGGUGGCAAGCGUUGUCCGGAUUUAUUGGGUUUAAAGGGUGCGUAGGCGGUUUCAUAAGUCAGUGGUGAAAUACGGCAGCUCAACUGUCGAGGUGCCAUUGAUACNUGUGAGACUUGAGUACAGACGAGGUAGGCNGGAAUUGACGGUGUAGCNGGUGAAAUGCUUAGAUAUCGUCAAGAACACCGAUAGCGAAGGCAGCUUACUAGGCUGUAACUGACGCUGAGGCACGAAAGUGUGGGGAUCAAACAGGAUUAGAUACCCUGGUAGUCCACACUGUAAACGAUGAUUACUCGAUGUUGGCGAUACACAGCCAGCGUCUUAGCGAAAGCGAUAAGUAAUCCACCUGGGGAGUACGCCGGCAACGGUGAAACUCAAAAAAAUUGACGGA
This 557-nucleotide ribosomal RNA is filed under the name uncultured bacterium. RNAcentral's name for it is "bacterial SSU rRNA". It matches the Rfam family "Bacterial small subunit ribosomal RNA", at positions 362 to 917 of the family's 1533-position model. The record is from RNAcentral.